Molecule: long non-coding RNA, 2604 nt
Organism: Lagopus muta (rock ptarmigan)
Lineage: Eukaryota; Metazoa; Chordata; Aves; Galliformes; Phasianidae
Exons: 5
Source: RefSeq, a predicted model, not a curated record
CUGCUUACCUGAAGCCUUCUAAAGCGUUGCAUCAGCUCUCUCUGCUGUUCCAAUGAAGUGGUCUUGUCUUUCUCUUGAUUCAAGUAAUGAACAUUUCUUGGCUUAAUGAAGGAGGAUCACUGGAGACAAUAGAGCACGAAGAAUAUCAUAUACCAGUAAGGAGAUGAAAGUAAUUAUGACACAGGAAAGUAAGUCUUUGAAAUGCAAAAAUAAAGCGUUAUUAUUCUGGCUGUCUGUAUGCAUCUCAGUGACACUUCCUCCUGGUAUUUUUUGCCUGAAAGUUGUGUAUCUAAGAGCCCACCUGCCACAGGAAAUCCUCUAACUGAUGUAUUCCUUGUGCAGUAACUUGGAGGCUUUCUGAAUAUAAAAGGCAUGUGGAAGUGUGUUUUAAAUUUAAACUGGAUGAGAUUUCCCAGUGCCCUGAGAGUUACCUUUUGGAUAACAGACGUUCAGCUGGAUGACAAGAUGCCUCUUAAUGGCAUCGCAGCUGUGAUAAUCCAACCAAUAGAGAUGUCUAUCGAGGGUUCACAACAGCCUGCCCUUGAGCGGAGCCGGAGCCGCCUGGGCAAUGCGCAGCGGUGCCAGCAGAGGGCGCUCGUGGAACGCAGCAGCUCCGGAGCUUUCAAUGGAGAAAAUCCCGCCGCUCAGCGCGGGGCUCCGCUCAGCUCACCGCCGGGAGGGCGGCUGGUUUGGCUCCUGCGCUCGGCACAGCUGUACCAAGGGCAUUAGCCUGUGUAUCUUAACACGGAUCGCCUGCUUCUGGGCAAGUUGCUUCUGACUCACCUACCUGCGUGCCCCGAAAUGGUUUUACGUGCCCGUAACGUGUCUUGUGAUCCCAUUCUGCAGGGGCUGCUUCUGUGUCCUGGGUCCGUGCUUCAGCAGCGCACAGCUUCAGGAUGAGUGCCUCCGAGCUCCUGACCGCGCUGUAGAUGCCCCUGUUUACUGCAGGGAGUUGCACGUUAACGGUCCUUUCUGACUCAAACCAUUCUUUGAUUCUGUGAAGAUAUUCCAUAAAUGGGCUGUGAAAUGCCUGUGUUAUUUGGAACGGAGACAUUUCCCGGGUCUACAGGCGAAGCGUCUGCGUGAGCAAUGCGGAAACGGGCAGCCCCCAGAGGCGGGCGGCCGGAGCGGCUGUGCGGGGCUGGGCUGUACGGAGCUGGGAGCUGGCUGAUGGAUGGGGUGCCUGUGGAGGAGGAGUGUCUGAGGGAACUGGGGAUGUCUGGUCUGGAGAAAAGAUGUUGACCACGGUGAUCCUUUCAGUCCCUUCUAACUCGGGGUAUUCGGUGAUUCCAUGAGGCUGAGGGGAGACCUGCAAUUAUCUGAAAGGAAGUUACGGUGAGGAGAGUGGCAGUUGCUUUUCUCAGGUGACGAGAGAGUGUGAGAGAAGGUGCUCAUGCUGCACUGGGGAUUUUUUGUUGUGGGUGUUUGGAAUAAUUUCUUCAAAGAGGAUAUUCAACCAUUGAGAUGGGCUGCGCCAGGAAGGGUUGGAGUCCCUGUCGCCAAGGACAUCUAAGAGACGUGGACAUGGCAGUAGGAGUUGUUUAGUAAUGGAACCCAGUAGGUCAGGUUAAUGAUUGGACUCGAUGAUCCUGAAGGUCUUUUCCAACCUAAAUGGUUCUGCGAUUCCAACCCUUCAUCAGAAGAGCUGGAGACAGGGGUCAGUCUGAAUGCCUGGAGCCUGGGCAGUGCCUUGUCAGACCUGUUUGAGAGCUCAAAACUGCCCUUGUGUGAGCAGCUGCACAGACUGGUAGCCCUUCCAACCAGUGCUUUUAUGGUUGUUUACUACCUUAGGGAAAAAAGGAGAGAGCUGUUAAACUUUCACAGGCUGUAACUACAAGUGCUGGACUUUGUGUAUUCUCUGUAUUUUCUUAAUUUGCUUAAUGUGAUGUAUGAUUCAUAGAAUUUAAAUUAUGAAAUAGUACAUAAAAUUUAAGGAUAUGAUUUACCUACAAUUCAUUUUUAUUAUGAGAAUUCCUGUUCUGUUCUUCCUAGAAUAGGCUUCAGGAAGAACAUUUAUAUUAAAGCCAGAGUCAUUACUAAAUAAAAUGUUUACAAGCAUUUGAGGCUCAUGGAGGAUACUGAUGUGAUGAUCCACAAUUUAAAACCUGUACACACAAUUUCUCAAGUGACACGUGCUUAUAGGCCAGUUACUCCUAUCAAUGUGAAAACAAGGCAUGUUCUCUGCAUAAUUCAGGCUCUGCUAAAAUAUGCAUAGUGUUCCUGAGAAUUUUCUACAAAUAAUGCCUAUGAGAGACAAUUGAUAAUCCUCUGGAAACAGGCUUUAGCUGAAAAUUACAGGACCAUUAGGAGCAUGGAAUCCCAUGUUGUAAGUAGACACGUCGGUCUUGCUGUGUGUAGAUUAGCACAGUGCCUUUUAAGUCAACCACUAAUACCUUAUUAAAACAUUUGCUAGCAUUCUGCACACAUGCUUCAGAGCAUUUGUGUCUUUCUGAUAACCAGUGUUGUUUCUUCGUGGAUCCCUGCGCAAGCAGUUUAGGUCUUCUGCUUUAAUGCUGUUUUGUUGAUACAAGAGUUCAAGCUCAGAUAAAUGGGGAAAACCACUUGGCAGAGAUGGGGUGGCCCUCCUGAACCCCAGGAGGGUAA